AGCUUUGCACAGUGGCCAUAUCAUAGCCAAUGAGGUUUAUCUGAGGCGCCAUUAUUGCUAGCUGAAAAAAAUCUAGGAAAACCCGCUCAAACUCUGAACCGCUUCUGCUUCCAAGCUUUUUGGAUAAAGGAUUUUC
This is a small nuclear RNA of Apodemus sylvaticus (European woodmouse), 136 nucleotides long. RefSeq annotates it as U4 spliceosomal RNA. Lineage: Eukaryota; Metazoa; Chordata; Mammalia; Rodentia; Muridae. The record is from RefSeq and is a predicted model, not a curated record. The transcript has a single exon.